GAUGAACGCUGGCGGCGUGCCUAAUACAUGCAAGUCGAGCGAACGGACGAGAAGCUUGCUUUUCUGAUGUUAGCGGCGGACGGGUGAGUAACACGUGGAUAACCUACCUAUAAGACUGGGAUAACUUCGGGAAACCGGAGCUAAUCCCGGAUAAUAUUUUGAACCGCAUGGUUCAAAAGUGAAAGACGGUCUUGCUGUCACUUAUGGAUGGAUCCGCGCUGCAUUAGCUAGUUGGUAAGGUAACGGCUUACCAAGGCAACGAUGCAUAGCCGACCUGAGAGGGUGAUCGGCCACACUGGAGCGGGGACAGGGUCAAGGCUCCUGCGGGAGGCAGCAGAAGGGAAUCUUCGGCAAUGGGGGAAAGCCGGACGGAGCAACGCGGCGGGGGGGAUGAAGGUGUUGGGUGGGUAAACCCCGGUUAUUGGGGAAGAACAUAUGUGGAAGUAACUGUGCACAUCUUGACGGUACCUAAUGAGAAAGCCACGGCUAACUACGUG
RNAcentral lists this ribosomal RNA (497 nucleotides) under uncultured bacterium. Its description in RNAcentral is "partial 16S ribosomal RNA". It matches the Rfam family "Bacterial small subunit ribosomal RNA", at positions 28 to 507 of the family's 1533-position model. The record is from RNAcentral.